Non-coding RNA from Aedes albopictus (Asian tiger mosquito), 74 nucleotides. Lineage: Eukaryota; Metazoa; Arthropoda; Insecta; Diptera; Culicidae. The record is from Rfam.
UGUUCUGUGGCUUAGUUGGUUACAGCGCCGGUCUAGCGAAUACGGAGUCGUGGGUUCGAAUCCCACCAGAACGC